Molecule: non-coding RNA, 1314 nt
Organism: Macaca mulatta (Rhesus monkey)
Lineage: Eukaryota; Metazoa; Chordata; Mammalia; Primates; Cercopithecidae
Source: RefSeq, a predicted model, not a curated record
AAUCUUUUAAAAGAACCAAAACACAAACACAUACAUUAGCCUAGCUUGCACGUGGUGAGGAUCAUCAAUAUCCCUGUCUUCCACCUCCACUUUGUGUCCCUCUGGAAGGUCUACAGGGGCAAUAGCCCCUAUGGAGCUGUCAUCUCCUAUGACAACAAUGCCUUCUUCUGGAUACCUCCUAAAGCAGUUGCUUGAGGCUGUUUUACAGUCAACUUUUUCUUUAAGAAGUAGAAGGAGUAUAUUCUAAAAUAGCAAUAAAAAGCAGAGUAAAUACAUAUACCAGAAACAGUCAUUUAUCAUCAUCAAGUAUUAUGUACUGUACAUAAUUGUGCUAUGCCUUUUUUGUUUUGUCUUUUUGCUUUAUUAUUAUCUUUGACACAUAAUCAUACAUGUUUAUGGGGUGCUGAGUGAUAUUUCAGUAGAGGUACACAAUGUAUGAUGAUAACAUCUAGAUAGUUAACAUAUUCAUCACCUCAAACAUGUAUCAUUUAUUUGUGUUGGGAACCUUCAAAAAUCUGCUCUUCUAGCUAUUUGAAAAUAUACAAUGAAAUGUUAAUGUUAAUCACCCUAGAGUGCUACCAUAUAUACUAUGCUUUUAUGUAACUGGCAAUGCAGUAGAUUUGUUUACCCCAGCAUCACCACAAACACAUGAAUGAUACAUUGCACUGUGAUGUUACAAUGGUUAUGACAUCACUAAGUGACAGGAAUAUUUUAGCUCCAUUUAAUCUUAUGGGAACCACUGUUGUAUAUGCAAUCCAUUGUUGACUGAAAUGUCUUUUUACAGCAUGUGAUGAUAUAGAUAAUGGAUAUAAGUGAUACUGGUGAAUAUGAAGACAACAGGAAGGAAUUAAUGCAGAAGAAGAAAUCUUGGAGAACAUCAUCAUUGAAAGGAUAGACCAUUAAAAGGAUCUUUGUUGAGGAGCAAUCAGAGAUGUCAGAGGAAAUUUUUACAAAGGUGUUGUCAUAGACACCAAUGGAAGUUCUGGAGGUGACAUCAGAUGAGGCAGGGUAUGCAAGUUUCUCCAGAACAUUCAUCUUCAACCUGGCAGGAGUCCCACUUGCUCACUCUCAGCGUCCUGGACAAGAUUGCUUUGAGCUUUCCUGCUUCAUGGUUUUGUUUCUUUGGUUCCUUUUUGGAUUAAGUCAUUCUUUUAUUGUUGUUUUCUUUUAAACCCUAGCUAUGCUUGGAUUUUAAAGCCAUAGAACAGUAACAGUAUAUGUCAGUGUAAAACAGGCUGGAUUGGAGACCCACUCCUGCCACUUACUAGCUGGGCAAGUGUUGAAAUCAUGAAAACUUUGUUUCUUCAUCUUUAA